RNAcentral lists this long non-coding RNA (910 nucleotides) under Ananas comosus (pineapple). RNAcentral's name for it is "long non-coding RNA (ACOM_LNC001534)". The record is from RNAcentral. Lineage: Eukaryota; Viridiplantae; Streptophyta; Magnoliopsida; Poales; Bromeliaceae.
UAUAACGAGGGUCGAAUCAUUAUAUUCUAGAGGAUAUAAGACAAUAUUCUGCUGCAUCGGUUCGAAACUUUGCCAAUCGCAGAAAGUUUGAAUCUGUUUAAAGAAAGUGAAUUUUUCGUGAAUCGGUUUGAUCGACUUUCGACACUUUUUUUUUUUAUUUUUUUUUAUUCUAAUAUCUAUUUUUAUGUAUUUACACGAACACUUUUAUCUGUCCUGAUCUGUCAAAAGUUCACUCCAGUUAAAGAUUCAAACGGGGCGGAUCUGGAGAUAGGAGCCCCGCCCCACCUUCCAUCCGAUUACCAAAAUUCCGUCCCACCUUUCGCCCAGAUCCGUGCCACGCUAAAAUAUAUAUUUUAUAAUCCAUCCCACCUCAUAACCCAUUUUCCGCUGGCGCCCCAAAUCCGCCCGGCUAAUUAAUACUUUUUUUACAAAUUGUAAUAUUAUUUUUUUUAUAAAAUAUAAAUAAUAAUUUUUUUAGUAAUAAUAAAUAAUAUUAUUAAGUUAUAUAUAUAAUUAGUAACAUCAAUUAUAAAAAAAAAAAUUAUCAAUCACGAUUUGAACUAAAAUUCAAAAAUUUCAAAUACAUUAUAAAUGAGAGCACCAACUUAUUUAUAUUUUGAACUAUUUAUGAAUAUAUUAUUCUUUAGGAAUAUUUUUUAAAAAUAUAAUUUAUUUUCAGGGCUGAUUCAUAACGGAUAAUGGCGGGACAGAUUCGAAGUGAAUUCGGAGCUAGUAAAAAAUUUUCUCCUUUCCCACCCCGAAUCUGUCCCGGAUAAUAAAAAUCGCCCUUUUUCCCACCCCAAAUCUGUUUACUUUUUUUUCAUUUACUGCCCUAUUUAGGACGGAUCGGAGCGGGUGCAACCCAAAUGAAGAGUUAAGUAGGGAUAAAACAAAGGGGAUAAAAUCCAAC